This 424-nucleotide unclassified non-coding RNA is filed under the name soil metagenome. Its description in RNAcentral is "partial contains 5.8S ribosomal RNA, internal transcribed spacer 2, and large subunit ribosomal RNA". The stretch from base 1 to 120 matches the Rfam family "5.8S ribosomal RNA", at positions 35 to 154 of the family's 154-position model. The record is from RNAcentral.
GAUGAAGAACGCAGCGAAAUGCGAUACGUAAUGUGAAUUGCAGAAUUCAGUGAAUCAUCGAAUCUUUGAACGCAUAUUACGCUCUCUGGUAUUCCGGAGAGCAUGCUUGUUUGAGUAUCAGUAAACACCUCAACUCCCUUUCUUCUUGAAAUGGAGCUGGACUUGAGUGAUCCCAACGCUUUAUUCAUAAAGUGGCGGGUUACUUGAAAUGCAGGUGCAGCUGGACUUUUCUUUGAGCUAUAAGCAUAUCUAUUUAGUCUGCCUCAAAACAGAUUAUUACCUUUGCUGCAGCUAACAUAAAGGAGAUUAGUUCUUGUGCUGACUGAUGCAGGAUUCACAAAGACCGCUUCGGCUGUCUUUGUAAACUCGAUCUCAAAUCAAGUAAGACUACCCGCUGAACUUAAGCAUAUCAAUAAGCGGAGGA